AGGGAGAAGCCCAGCACCCAAGCGCCCGUCCCAAUGGGGCGGGAGUGCUAUUUGGUGUUUAGGAGUAGCGCGACCGAAGGUUGACCUAAGCGCAAGUCCCCCUGACUGGGGCUCUCGCCCAUAGAGGGUGCAAGGCCCAUAGUCGCUUAUGGUCUCCGGCGGAAGCAAAACUCCUUGGAGUCGGGUUGCUUGAGAGUGCAGCCCUAAGUGGGUGGUAAACUCCAUCUAAGGCUAAAUACGACCACGAAACCGAUAGCGAACAAGUACCGUGAGGGAAAGUUGAAAAGAACUUUGAAGAGAGAGUUCAAGAGUGCGUGAAACCGUUUAGAGGUAAACGGGUGGGCCCUCGAAGGUGAUCGUCGGAGGGAUUCAGUCGGACGUGACCGCGUGCGUCGUUCGUCUCUAACGGUGCGGACCUCGGUCGGCCGGGCGGGCGAUUGCUGCGGGCCGUUUGGCGCAUUUCCUUCCGUUCGAACUACGCUGCGACCGGUCUGGUCACUGAAAGUUGUCCGUCUUUGAAAGCGGGCGCCGGAAGGUGGCCGGUGGUUUCUCCCUCGCGGAGUUUCUACCGGUGUUUUAGCCAGCUCGUUUCACGAGUGAGCGUUCGCCAGACCGGGGACGAUUUUAGCCCUGUGCGGGCUACGCCGAGCACUCCCUUUACCGGGAACGAAGCGGCGGGACAGGUGUUGUCGUUCGGUUUGUCGUUUCACCUUUGUGUGAGCGGCUGCCGGCGAUCUCCGCUGGUUUCCGUUCGCACUCGUCGAUGCUCAGUUGACCCGUCUUGAAACACGGACCAAGGAGUCUAACAUGUGCGCGAGUCAUUGGGUCUUGAAUAGGCCCAAAGGCGAAAUGAAAGUGAAGACCGGUUCGGCCGGUUGCCUUGGGAUCCCGCGAGCCUCGCGUUCGUGGGCGCACCAAGGGCCCGUCCCGAUCGCCUCGUCGACGGGGCGGAGCAAGAGCGUACACGUUGGGACCCGAAAGAUGGUGAACUAUGCCUGGGCAGGACGAAGCCAGAGGAAACUCUGGUGGAGGUCCGCAGCGAUUCUGACGUGCAAAUCGAUCGGUGGGAUGAACCAAACGCCGGGUUAAGGGGCCCGAUACGAGACGCUCAUGAGAUCCCAUGAAAGGUGUUGGUUGCUAUAGACAGCAGGACGGUGGCCAUGGAAGUCGGAAUCCGCUAAGGAGUGUGUAACAACUCACCUGCCGAAGCAACUAGCCCUGAAAAUGGAUGGCGCUCCAGCGUCGACCCCAUACCCGGCCGCCGCGGCCGAAUAAACCAUGGUGUUUUAAGCCGCGGUGAGUAGGAGGGGCGCAGAGGCGCGCGUCGAAGGUGCCGAGCGUAAGCUCGCCUGGAGCCGCCUCUGGUGCAGAUCUUGGUGGUAGUAGCAAAUACUCAAGUGAGAACCUUGAGGACUGAGGUGGAGAAGGGUUCCAUGUGAACAGCAGUUGAACAUGGGUCAGUCGGUCCUAAGGGAUAGGAGAAAUCCGUUCCGAGGCGGGACCUCUCAUUCGCAAGUCCCGCUGGUGACCGAAAGGGAAUCGGGUUAAUAUUCCCGAACCCGGACACGGAGAUCGUCCCCUUCGGGGGUACAUUGCGGUAACGCAAACGAGCUCGGAGACGUCGACGGGAGUCCCGGGAAGAGUUGUCUUUUCUUUGUAAGGAUUCGACUCCCUGGAAUCGGCUCGCCCGGAGAUAGGGAUGGUGUUUCCGUAAAGCACCGCG
This 1723-nucleotide ribosomal RNA is filed under the name Phalangium opilio (common harvesterman). Its description in RNAcentral is "eukaryotic LSU rRNA". It matches the Rfam family "Eukaryotic large subunit ribosomal RNA", at positions 99 to 1770 of the family's 3401-position model. The record is from RNAcentral. Lineage: Eukaryota; Metazoa; Arthropoda; Arachnida; Opiliones; Phalangiidae.